UACAGAGGAUGCAAGCGUUGUCCGGAAUCAUUGGGCGUAAAGAGCGUGUAGGCGGCCAGAAAAGUCCGCUGUGAAAACUCGAGGCUCAACUUCGAGCUGUCGGUGGAAACUUUCUGGCUAGAGUCCGGAAGAGGAGAAUGGAAUUCCUGGUGUAGCGGUGAAAUGCGCAGAUAUCAGGAAGAACACCCGUGGCGAAGGCGGUUCUCUGGGACGGUACUGACGCUGAGACGCGAAAGCGUGGGGAGCGAACAGG
RNAcentral lists this ribosomal RNA (253 nucleotides) under uncultured bacterium. RNAcentral describes it as "partial 16S ribosomal RNA". It matches the Rfam family "Bacterial small subunit ribosomal RNA", at positions 524 to 776 of the family's 1533-position model. The record is from RNAcentral.